Aminobacterium colombiense DSM 12261 is the source of this 164-nucleotide regulatory RNA element. It matches the Rfam family "Ribosomal protein L10 leader". From Rfam's summary of the family: This family is a putative r-protein leader autoregulatory structure found in B. subtilis and other low-GC Gram-positive bacteria. It is located in the 5' untranslated regions of mRNAs encoding ribosomal proteins L10 and L12 (rplJ-rplL). The record is from Rfam. Lineage: Bacteria; Thermotogati; Synergistota; Synergistia; Synergistales; Aminobacteriaceae.
CAAUAAGCACCUGACAAACCAGAGACAGUGGGCGCGUUUAACGCCUAAUGAAUUCAUAUCACCCACCGAGGUUUGGAGAAAGACCCAUAGAGUAGCCGUAUAAGCUGCUUUCUUUGUGUACUUAUCUCCCGGCCUUGAUGGUUGGGAGAUUUUUUUUGGGAGGA